GUGCCAGCAGCCGCGGUAAUACGGAGGGUGCAAGCGUUAAUCGGAAUUACUGGGCGUAAAGCGCACGCAGGCGGUCUGUUAAGUCAGAUGUGAAAUCCCCGGGCUCAACCCGGGAACUGCAUUUGAAACUGGCAGGCUUGAGUCUCGUAGAGGGGGGUGGAAUUCCAGGUGUAGCGGUGAAAUGCGUAGAGAUCUGGAGGAAUACCGGUGGCGAAGGCGGCCCCCUGGACGAAGACUGACGCUCAGGUGCGAAAGCGUGGGGGAGCAAACAGGAUUAGAUACCCUGGUAGUCC
RNAcentral lists this ribosomal RNA (293 nucleotides) under uncultured microorganism. RNAcentral's name for it is "partial 16S ribosomal RNA". It matches the Rfam family "Bacterial small subunit ribosomal RNA", at positions 505 to 796 of the family's 1533-position model. The record is from RNAcentral.